Molecule: ribosomal RNA, 498 nt
Filed under: uncultured bacterium
Lineage: Bacteria
Description: partial 16S ribosomal RNA
Rfam family: Bacterial small subunit ribosomal RNA
Source: RNAcentral
GGACGAACGCUGGCGGCGUGCCUAAUACAUGCAAGUAGAACGCUGAGCCUUGUUCUUGCAACCAGCCGGUUAGUUUCCGAAGGGUUAGUUACGCGUUGGGUACCUUCCUUGUUACGGGGGAUUACUAUUUGAAACGAUUGCUUAUUCCGCCUAACCGUUGGUUUUGCCUGAUUGCUACUUUAAAGGUUCCAAUUGCACCCUUACCAGUUGGCCUUGCGUUGUAUUAGCUAGUGGUGGAGGUAACGGCUCACAAAGGCAACGAUACAUAGCCGACCUGAGAGGGUGAUCGGCCACACUGGGACUGAGACACGGCCCAGACUCCUACGGGAGGAAGCAGUAGGGAAUCUUCGGCAAUGGACGGAAGUCUGACCGAGCAACGCCGCGUGAGUGAAGAAGGUUGUCGGAUCGUAAAGAUCGGUUGUAAGAGAAGAACGAGGGUGAGAGUGGAAAGUUCACAAUGUGACGGUAUCUUACCAGAAAGGGACGGCUAACUACGUG